AAGAAGGAAGAAAGCCAUUAAAGCUUAGUCAAGUUUCGGCCAUAUUCAAACUUAAAUUCAAGGUUCGUUUUUGUUCGGUUUUCAAUAAUUUUUACGUUUUUGAUAUCGUUGCUUCGAAUACUUUAAAACCCAUGCCUUAAUUUUAUGAAUUGUUGAUGAUUUUAAAAUGUACCAUUGAUGAAUGCUUGAGCUUUGUGAUAGUUGAUGAUGAAAUAUGAAAGAUAUGUGAAAGAUUAAUAUGUUUUGUCUUUGAAUUUUUGAUGAAUUUGAGUAAUUAGGGUUAAAUUGUAAAAAUAAAUUUUUGAGGGGUUAAAAUGUGAAAUAAAUGAAAUGUGUGGGCUUGUAAAGAUACUAGGAAUAUUCGGCCCUAAAGGAGUGUAGUCAAAUUUUGUGUAUUUUGUGUUUUGAGUAAAAAGGACUAAAUUGCAAAAAAGUGUAAAAUGUUAGGAGCAAAAUGUAAUUUGCCCAUUUAUGUAUUUUUGGAUUUAAUUGAAUGUUUUGAUGAAUAAAAAGGUUAAAUUUGAAUAUGUUUAGAUCGAAAAACGAAGAAAACGGAUUUGGAUUGGGGAAAAACGAAAGUAGUUGAAUAGUCGAUCGUGUCCGUUGAUAUCCGAGGUAAGUUUAUUAGCUAUUUAAUUUUAUUAAAUCAGUUUAUAUUACAUGUAUGAAUAUCAAAUGUAUUUAUGUUGAGUUAAAUUAAAAGUAUAUAAAUCGAAUGAGAAGUAUGAAAAUUAUGUAUAUAUAUGUGUUAGGUUCGAAUGAGUAUGAAUAUACAAAUAUAUAUACAUCAAUGUCUUUGUAAAUAAUUUAAGUAUGGAACUAUAGACAUGUGAUGUAUUCGAACAUAGGUAUGUAUAUAUGUCAAUAAAGUUUUAAUUUAGUUAAUGUUAAUUGUUUUAUAUGUUUACAUGAUGUUCGAAUAGAUAUAUAUAAAGAUAUAUAUAUGUAUCAAAUAUUUGUAUAAGUUGGAUUGAAUAAGCAUAUAUAUAUGAAUAAAUAAUUAUAUUGAGUAUAGGUAUGAAAUUAUAUUUAUAUAUAUGUGUGUUAAUUUCGAAUAUGUAUGUGUAUAAUGUAUAAAAGUACAAGUUCUUGUUUCGAAUAUAAGCAUAGAGUAAUAUAUAUUUGUUAGAUUCGAAUAUGUAUAUAUGUACAUGUAUAAGAUCUUGUAUUGAAAAGGUAUAUGAAAUUAUAUAGGUAUAUAUGGAAUUCAAAUGUUAAAAGUACAUAGUAUAUUAUAAGUUAAAUCUUAUGAUAUUAGUAGUGGAAUCUAAAGUAUGAGGUUAUAUAUAUAUAUAAAUGUGUUUCGGUUGAAUUAUUGAAUUAUUUAAGUUAGAUUUGAUGAUUGGGAUUUAUAUAUAUCCAUGUGUUUUAAAGAUAUAAGUUUAUGAAUAUUGAGCUGAAUUUUAUGUGGAUUUUAUAUACAAAUAUGAGAUACAACUUCUGUGAAUUGAGAUUCUUUUGUUAAAGCUCAGUACCAAUCGGAUUUAUUGCCAAUGAAAUUAUUCAGACUAUACGUCUAGCAGGCUAAGUGCCGGUGAUCUGAAUCAGGUUAUAAACCUAGUAGGCUAAGUGCCGGUGAUCUGAAUCAGGUUAUAAACCUAACAGGCUAAGUGCCGGUGAUCUGAAUCAAGCUAUAAGCCUAGCAGGCUAAGUGCCGGUGAAUCUAUUAAAUUAAGUGAUUAUAUGCAUUUGAUAUAUAUAUAUGAUUUUGGUUAUAUGUAAUGGAUAAGUAUAUGAACAUUUAUUUAUAUGUAUUUGAUGAGCAUAUAAAUGUUUGGAUCUAUGUGUUUAGUGAAUAGGCACAUAUAUUGGUUGUUAUGAAAAUUGUUGAAUAUACAUGUAUGCAUUCGGCACAUGUGGAUUAAAAGUAUAAAUGUGCAUUUGGUUCAUGUAGUUGAUAAGUAAAAAUAUAAGCUUUUGACUUAUGUAUUUGAAAGAUCAUAGAUAUGCAUUCGAUGAAAUGCAAACGAUAAGUAUAUUAGAAAUUAGUAUAUGCAAUUAAUGAUUAUGUCUGUAACUUGAUUAUAAGCAUAUAAUGUUUAUACAUAUGUUCGUUUAUAUGUAUUUUAGAUAUGCUAUAAACUUACUAAGCUAUAAAAGCUUACUUUGAUUGUUUUUGUCCAUUUGUUUUAUAGUUAAAAAUCAAGCUGCAGACUCGGGGAUCGUUAGCGAAGAUCAUCACUCUAUCUACUAUCUCAGUAUUAAAAUGUUUAAAUUUUAACUUAUGGCAUGUAUAGGCUAAAUAAAAUUUUGGGAGUCGUACUUUAAUGUACUGUAUAUAUAUAAUUAAUAGCCAUAUGAAACUAGCUUAUUUUUCUCACGG
RNAcentral lists this long non-coding RNA (2323 nucleotides) under Gossypium barbadense (sea-island cotton). Its description in RNAcentral is "long non-coding RNA (GBAR_LNC019326)". The record is from RNAcentral. Lineage: Eukaryota; Viridiplantae; Streptophyta; Magnoliopsida; Malvales; Malvaceae.